This 1235-nucleotide long non-coding RNA is filed under the name Chrysemys picta bellii (western painted turtle). Its description in RNAcentral is "lncRNA (ENSCPBG00000002260.1)". Lineage: Eukaryota; Metazoa; Chordata; Testudines; Emydidae. The record is from RNAcentral.
AAGAAAAAGUGGACUGUGCAUUAUCCAAACAUUCCAUUAGCUAUACGCUCAGUACCCCACGGAGAAGGACUGCCGGUUCCUGAUGCACCAGAAUCAUUCUCACUUGAGUCAGAUGAGGAAGAGGAUGAAACUUCUGGUCCUGAACCAUCAAUGUCACAGGACCCACAUUUUCUCCCAUCCUCCUCCUCUGAACCACACCUCAUAACACAAGGUGAACUGAAUGACAUUGUCAGAGAUUUGGAAGUACCCAUGAGUAAGGCAGAGCUGUUGGGCUCCAGACUACAGCAGUGGAAUCUCCUGGCAGGUGAUGUUAGGAUUUCCAUGUUCUGUGACCGUCAAAAGGAUCUUGUCCCAUUCUUCUUCAUGGAAGGUGAACUUGUAGCCUGCAACAACAUCAAUGGUGUGAUGGCAGCCCUCAACAUCGGUCACGAUUCAGAUGAGUGGAGACUGUUCAUUGAUUCAUCGAAGACGAGUCUUAAAGCUGUUUUACUGCAUAAUGGCAAUGUUUUGCCAUCAAUUCCAGUUGGUCAUGCAGUCCAUAUGAAGGAAACCUAUGACAACAUGAAACAACUUUUGAGGUGCAUAAAAUAUGACCAACAUCAGUGGCAGCUUUCUGGCGAUUUGAAGGUUGUUGCUCCCUUGUUUGGUCUGCAGACUGGAUACACAAAGUACUGCUGUUUUCUCUGCGAAUGGGAUAGUCGUGCAAGAGAUUCCCACUACAUCAAGAAAGAUUGGCCACUCCGACAGUCAUUGGAGCCUGGGAGGAAAAGUGUUCAGCAUCCACCACUUGUUGAAUCAGGGAAGAUUUUGUUACCACCCUUGCACAUGAAGCUGGGUCUGAUGAAGAACUUUGUCAAGGCCAUUGACAAAACACAAGCAGCUUUCAAGUACCUUGGUGGAAAAUUUCCAAGGUUAAGUGAAGCUAAGAUAAAGGAAGGUGUCUUUGUUGGUCCUCAGAUUCGUGAACUUCUUCGAGAUGAUGCAUUUGACCAUGCACUGCGUGGCAAGGAAAAGACAGCAUGGAAAGCCUUCCAGUUAGUGGCAAUACAUUUUCUCAGAAACAACAAGGCAGACAACUACAGGUUGUUGGUGGAAACCUCCUCAAGGCAUACAAAAUCCUUGGUUGCAACAUGUCACUAAAGAUAAAUUUUUUGCACUCUCAUCUAGAUUUUUUUCCACCGAACUGCGGAGCAGUGAGCGACGAGCACGGCGAGCAAUUUCACCAGGACAUUGCA